CAGCUAACAUGCAGUCGAGGGGCAGCAGGUGUAGCAAUACAUGCUGGCGACCGGCGCACGGGUGCGUAACACGUAUGCAAUCUUUCCUUAACUGGUGAAUAGCUUUGAGAAAUCAGAAUUAAUACACCAUAACAUUGCGAAAUGGCAUCAUUUUGCAAUUAAAGCUCCGGCGGUUAAGGGUGAGCAUGCGCCCCAUUAGCUAGUUGGCGAGGUAACGGCUCACCAAGGCAACGAUGGGUAGGGGUUCUAAGAGGAUUUACCCCCACACGGGAACUGAGACACGGUCCCGACUCCUACGGGAGGCAGCAGUAAGGAAUAUUGGUCAAUGGGCGCAAGCCUGAACCAGCCAUGCCGCGUGCAGGAUGAAGGUCCUACGGAUCGUAAACUGCUUUUGUACGGGAAAAAACCCCUUGUUUCUACGAGGGUUGAUGGUACCGUAAGAAUAAGGAUCGGCUAACUCCGUGCCAGCAGCCGCGGUAAUACGGAGGAUCCGAGCGUUAUCCGGAUUUACUGGGUUUAAAGGGUGCGUAGGUGGAAUGUCAAGUCAGUGGUGAAAACCUGCAGCUUAACUGUAGAACUGCCAUUGAUACUGUCAUUCUUGAGUAUAUUUGAUGUAAGUGGAAUGUGUCGUGGUAGCGGUGAAAUGCUUAGAUAUGACACAGAACACCCAUUGCGAAGGCAGCUUACAAAACUAUUACUGACACUGAGGCACGAAAGCGUGGGGAUCAAACAGGAUUAGAUACCCUGGUAGUCCACGCCGUAAACGUUGAUUACUAGAUGUGUGCGCGUUAACCGUACGUGUCAAAGCGAAAGCGUUUAGUAAUCCACCUGGGGAGUACGACCCCCAGGGUGAAACUCCA
RNAcentral lists this ribosomal RNA (860 nucleotides) under uncultured soil bacterium. RNAcentral's name for it is "bacterial SSU rRNA". It matches the Rfam family "Bacterial small subunit ribosomal RNA", at positions 47 to 904 of the family's 1533-position model. The record is from RNAcentral.